GUCAAACUAAAGAAAGAGAGAUACUGACUUCAUCAGUAAAUGGCUGCUUGCGAGGUGGCAGGGUCUGUGAUUUUCUCCAUGCUGUGCUUUAUGGGCAAGACAGUGGAUUUGAGGAUAUCCACUUGAACCUAUACUGAUGCUCGCUAGCUCUGGACAGCAGCCAAAGCAGGAGGUGGAGCAGACACAGCUGGCCUUCAGUCUUCGGGCCUCACAGCCGGGAAGAACAUUUGUGAUUGGUUUGGUUUUCCUUAUGUGAAGUCUCUAUUAGGCAUGGAGAGGGGGGCGGGAUACUAAGGUGUUACACGGAAUUUCACUUUACAGACAUAUUUUUAAAAGACUGUCUAUUGUGGGUAUUUUUAGGAUAGGUGUACUUCUUUGUAAGGUCUCCUAUUUGAAACCAUGGAGGUUUUAGGCAAGAGUUUUCCCAAGCCGGAGUUCUUUAUCCUACCUUUGGGGUACUGCUCAGUGAGCAUGGACAAAAACUUGUAUCUCUGGACCUUAGUUAUUUUGUAUGUUAAAUUUGAGUGAGGGAAUUC
Molecule: long non-coding RNA, 536 nt
Filed under: Bos taurus (domestic cattle)
Lineage: Eukaryota; Metazoa; Chordata; Mammalia; Artiodactyla; Bovidae
Description: long non-coding RNA NONBTAT002719
Source: RNAcentral